This 253-nucleotide ribosomal RNA is filed under the name uncultured bacterium. RNAcentral's name for it is "partial 16S ribosomal RNA". It matches the Rfam family "Bacterial small subunit ribosomal RNA", at positions 524 to 776 of the family's 1533-position model. The record is from RNAcentral.
UACGUAGGGGGGCAAGCGUUGUCCGGAUUUAUUGGGCGUAAAGAGCGUGUAGGCGGCUGGGUAGGUCCGUUGUGAAAACUCGAGCUCAACCUCGAGACGCCGAUGGAAACCCCCCAGCUAGAGUCCGGAAGAGGAGAGUGGAAUUCCUGGUGUAGCGGUGAAAUGCGCAGAUAUCAGGAAGAACACCCGUGGCUAAGGCGGCUCUCUAGUACGGUACUGACGCUGAGACGCGAAAGCGUGGGGAGCGAACAGG